This 450-nucleotide ribosomal RNA is filed under the name uncultured bacterium. Its description in RNAcentral is "partial 16S ribosomal RNA". It matches the Rfam family "Bacterial small subunit ribosomal RNA", at positions 354 to 796 of the family's 1533-position model. The record is from RNAcentral.
GUGGGGAAUUUUGGACAAUGGGCGAAAGCCUGAUCCAGCCAUGCCGCGUGCAGGAUGAAGGCCUUCGGGUUGUAAACUGCUUUUGUACGGAACGAAAAGACUCCUUCUAAUAAAGGGGGUCCAUGACGGUACCGUAAGAAUAAGCACCGGCUAACUACGUGCCAGCAGCCGCGGUAAUACGUAGGGUGCAAGCGUUAAUCGGAAUUACUGGGCGUAAAGCGUGCGCAGGCGGUUAUAUAAGACAGAUGUGAAAUCCCCGGGCUCAACCUGGGAACUGCAUUUGUGACUGUAUAGCUAGAGGACGGUAGAGGGGGAUGGAAUUCCGCGUGUAGCAGUGAAAUGCGUAGAUAUGCGGAGGAACACCGAUGGCGAAGGCAAUCCCCUGGACCUGUACUGACGCUCAUGCACGAAAGCGUGGGGAGCAAACAGGAUUAGAAACCCCGGUAGUCC